Rosa chinensis is the source of this 655-nucleotide RNA transcript. RefSeq lists it as uncharacterized. NCBI's taxonomy places the organism in Eukaryota, Viridiplantae, Streptophyta, Magnoliopsida, Rosales, Rosaceae. The transcript has 2 exons. The record is from RefSeq and is a predicted model, not a curated record.
UCUCUCUCUCUCUCUCUCUCUGUACUCUCAGUUCUUCUUCUCCGCUGUAAACUCAUCAUUGAUUUUAUUUUUAUCUCCGAUCUGGGGUGAUCUGGUGCAGGGUAAGAGGAAUGGCGAUGGUUCCAGGCAACUGAUGUGGGAGAUAGUGAAGAAGAACAACUCUUUUCUGGUGAAGGAGUUCGGCAGAAGCCACGCCGGCGUUAGGUUCAGCAAGGAGCCCAGCAACCUCUUGAAUCUCCACUCCUACAAGCAAUCUGGGUUGGCAAACAAAAAAACUGUGAUAAUUCAGUCCAGUAAGGACCAAUCUGUGUUGCUGGCGACGACUACGACCAGGAAGCAUCUGAUAGUGAAUUGCAUGAUUGCAUAUGAUAGUUUCCAACUUUACAAAGUGAAUUGUAACCAGAGAAUGCAGGGCAUAGGAAAUAGAGUACGUAAGACUUGAAUGAUUUCAAGUUGUAUGCUUGGUAACGUUGCAAGUAUUGAGAUUAAACUUAUAGGAUAAGAGGAAGCAUUGCCUCUCAUUUUAUGGCUUGUGAUAUGUACUUAUUCAAUGACUAGUUAUUUAAUGUGAAAGGAAAGGUCAGCGGGUUUUGAUAGGUAUGUGAAAUGUGAAAGGAAAAUUCAAAGUCGUUCUGUUUAUAGUGGUUCUGGAUUA